This 497-nucleotide ribosomal RNA is filed under the name uncultured bacterium. RNAcentral describes it as "partial 16S ribosomal RNA". It matches the Rfam family "Bacterial small subunit ribosomal RNA", at positions 28 to 507 of the family's 1533-position model. The record is from RNAcentral.
GAUGAACGCUGGCGGCGUGCCUAAUACAUGCAAGUCGAGCGAACAGACGAGGAGCUUGCUCCUCUGACGUUAGCGGCGGACGGGUGAGUAACACGUGGAUAACCUACCUAUAAGACUGGGAUAACUUCGGGAAACCGGAGCUAAUACCGGAUAAUAUAUUGAACCGCAUGGUUCAAUAGUGAAAGACGGUUUUGCUGUCACUUAUAGAUGGAUCCGCGCCGCAUUAGCUAGUUGGUAAGGUAACGGCUUACCAAGGCAACGAUGCGUAGCCGACCUCAGAGGGUGGUCGGCCACCCUGGAACUGAGACACGGUCCAGACUCCUACGGGAGGCAGCAGUAGGGAAUCUUCCGCGAUGGGCGAAAGCCUGACGGAGCAACGCCGCGUGAGUGAUGAAGGUCUUCGGAUCGUAAAACUCUGUUAUUAGGGAAGAACAAAUGUGUAAGUAACUAUGCACGUCUUGACGGUACCUAAUCAGAAAGCCACGGCUAACUACGUG